CCACCAGGUCGAGUUGUAAUUUGUAGAUUGUAUCUUGAGAGCGGAUUAAAGUCUGUUGGAACACAGCGCCUUAGAGGGUGACAGCCCCGUAAAAUCUAUUCUCAUUGUAAGAUACUUUCGAAGAGUCGAGUUGUUUGGGAAUGCAGCUCUAAGUGGGAGGUAAAUUCCUUCUAAAGCUAAAUAUUGACGAGAGACCGAUAGCGAACAAGUACUGUGAAGGAAAGAUGAAAAGCACUUUGAAAAGAGAGUGAAAAAGUACGUGAAAUUGUUAAAAGGGAAGGGUAUUGAAUCA
Molecule: ribosomal RNA, 292 nt
Filed under: Geotrichum candidum
Lineage: Eukaryota; Fungi; Ascomycota; Dipodascomycetes; Dipodascales; Dipodascaceae
Description: partial large subunit ribosomal RNA
Rfam family: Eukaryotic large subunit ribosomal RNA
Source: RNAcentral